UGUCCUAGCGCAUGCGCAACAGCUUCCGUUUCCUCCGCGCGUCGGAAGGUGUUUCAAGUUCGACUCCCGCCCGAGUGACCCAAGCCUGUACCAGGGUGGGCACUCAAGCGAAGGUGGUGCACCUUUGGGCGAUUUCCACCCAGUCUCCACCUGAGGACCCAGCUUAUCCUGGGGACACUCUUGAUCUGCUCCUGGGAAUCCAGCCAUAUGCACCCUCACCUCAUCAGGACAGAUGACCAGCUUGAAGUUGAGGAGGUCAUCUGGAUCUGAGAAGCUGAUAUCACACGUCUUGGGCAG
Long non-coding RNA from Sapajus apella (tufted capuchin), 297 nucleotides. RefSeq lists it as uncharacterized. NCBI's taxonomy places the organism in Eukaryota, Metazoa, Chordata, Mammalia, Primates, Cebidae. The record is from RefSeq and is a predicted model, not a curated record. The transcript is spliced from 2 exons.